This 267-nucleotide ribosomal RNA is filed under the name uncultured bacterium. Its description in RNAcentral is "partial 16S ribosomal RNA". It matches the Rfam family "Bacterial small subunit ribosomal RNA", at positions 793 to 1055 of the family's 1533-position model. The record is from RNAcentral.
GUCCCAGCUGUAAACGAUGAUGACUAGAUGUGGGAGGUAUCGACCCCUUCCGCGUCGCAGCUAACGCGUUAAGUCAUCCGCCUGGGGAGUACGGCCGCAAGGUUAAAACUCAAAGGAAUUGACGGGGGCCCGCACAAGCGGUGGAGCAUGUGGUUUAAUUCGACGCUACGCGAAGAACCUUACCUGGGCUCGAACGACUGGUAGUAGUCCCGAUGAAAGUUGGGGCGACCCGCAAGGGAGCCAGCCGAGGUGCUGCAUGGCUGUCGU